GACGGGCCCCGCACAAGCAGCGGAGCGUGUGGUUUAAUUCGAUGUUACACGAAGAACCUUACCAGGGUUUGACAUGCAAGUGGUAGGAAGCCGAAAGGUGACCGACCCUUCGGGGAGCUUGCACAGGUGCUGCAUGGCUGUCGUCAGCUCGUGUCGUGAGAUGUUCGGUUAAGUCCGCUAACGAGCGCAACCCUCGCUGUGUGUUAUAUGUGUCACACGGGACUGCCGGUCUUAAGCCGGAGGAAGGUGGGGAUGAUGUCAAGUCAGCAUGGCCUUUAUAUCCUGGGCUACACACACGCUACAAUGGCCAACACAAUAGGUUGCUAAGCCGCGAGGUGGCGCCAAUCCAUAAAGUUGGUCUCAGUUCAGAUUGUAGGCUGCAACCCGCCUGCAUGAAGAUGGAGUUGCUAGUAACCGCAGGUCAGCUAUACUGCGGUGAAUACGUUCCCGGGGCUU
RNAcentral lists this ribosomal RNA (456 nucleotides) under uncultured Leptolinea sp. RNAcentral describes it as "bacterial SSU rRNA". It matches the Rfam family "Bacterial small subunit ribosomal RNA", at positions 916 to 1381 of the family's 1533-position model. Lineage: Bacteria; Bacillati; Chloroflexota; Anaerolineae; Anaerolineales; Anaerolineaceae. The record is from RNAcentral.